UACGUAGGGUGCGAGCGUUAAUCGGAAUUACUGGGCGUAAAGCGUGCGCAGGCGGUUUUUGUAAGUCAGAUGUGAAAUCCCCGGGCUUAACCUGGGAACUGCGUUUGAAACUACAAGGCUAGAGUGUGGCAGAGGGGGGUGGAAUUCCGCGUGUAGCAGUGAAAUGCGUAGAGAUGCGGAGGAACACCGAUGGCGAAGGCAGCCCCCUGGGCUGACACUGACGCUCAGGCACGAAAGCGUGGGGAGCAAACAGG
Molecule: ribosomal RNA, 254 nt
Filed under: uncultured bacterium
Lineage: Bacteria
Description: partial 16S ribosomal RNA
Rfam family: Bacterial small subunit ribosomal RNA
Source: RNAcentral